Molecule: ribosomal RNA, 509 nt
Filed under: uncultured bacterium
Lineage: Bacteria
Description: bacterial SSU rRNA
Rfam family: Bacterial small subunit ribosomal RNA
Source: RNAcentral
UAGUCCACGCCGUAAACGAUGGUCACUAGCUGUUUGUUUCACAAUGGUGAGAUAAGUGGUUAAGCGAAAGUGAUAAGUGACCCACCUGGGGAGUACGUUCGCAAGAAUGAAACUCAAAGGAAUUGACGGGGGCCCGCACAAGCGGUGGAGCAUGUGGUUUAAUUCGAUGAUACGCGAGGAACCUUACCAGGGCUUAAAUGUAAGUUGCAUUAAUCAGAGAUGGUUAUUUCUUCGGACCACUUACAAGGUGCUGCAUGGUUGUCGUCAGCUCGUGCCGUGAGGUGUCAGGUUAAGUCCUAUAACGAGCGCAACCCUUGUCUUUAGUUGCCAUCAUUAAGUUGGGCACUUUAAAGAGACUGCCGGUGACAAACCGGAGGAAGGUAAGGAUGACGUCAAGUCAGCAUGCCCCUUAUGCUCUGGGCUACACACGUGCUACAAUGGCCGUGACAAAGAGUUGCUACUUUGUGAAAACAAGCUAAUCUCAUAAACGCGGCCUCAGUUCGGAUUGC